This 309-nucleotide unclassified non-coding RNA is filed under the name Hevea brasiliensis (rubber tree). The record is from RNAcentral. Lineage: Eukaryota; Viridiplantae; Streptophyta; Magnoliopsida; Malpighiales; Euphorbiaceae.
GGAAAUCAAUUGUCUUGAGUGGGAGAGCUUCGCUUUUCAUCCCAGUCCCCUCAUUGUACUUGUUUUUGAGAGAUACAAUCGGGCUAGUGACAACUGGAAAGCUCUUAAGGAGCUGGAGAAAGCAGCCAAGGUGUAUUGGAGUGCCAAAGAGCGCUUGCCUCCUCGGACUGUGAAGAUUGACAUUAAUAUUGAGAGGGAUCUAGCCUAUGCGCUUAAAGUCAAAGAAAGUCCACAGAUAUUGUUCUUACGAGGAAACAGGAUACUAUACAGGGAAAAAGAAAUUCGUACAGCUGAUGACUUGGUUCAAAU